Molecule: long non-coding RNA, 237 nt
Filed under: Prunus dulcis (almond)
Lineage: Eukaryota; Viridiplantae; Streptophyta; Magnoliopsida; Rosales; Rosaceae
Description: sRNA ncRNA
Source: RNAcentral
AUGGCCCAGCCUAUACCUGAAAUAUGGCAUAACCGAAAUAUCCUACCCAAAGUAUUCUACCUGUUAAAAUAUGGCCUAGCUAGGUAUUGUAACCUAGCCGAAAUGUCAUACCCGAACUAUAUGUCUUACCCGACUAAUAUGGCAUACCUGAUUCACUAUGUCCUAACCGACCAUAAGGUACGACCUGAAUACAUGUGCUUCUCCCUCACUCCCCAACACAAGGACUACUCAGUCUAG